UGCUCGGACCAUAGAGAGGGCCUCCUGG
This 28-nucleotide non-coding RNA is filed under the name Rattus norvegicus (Norway rat). Lineage: Eukaryota; Metazoa; Chordata; Mammalia; Rodentia; Muridae. The record is from RNAcentral.